This 14366-nucleotide unclassified non-coding RNA is filed under the name Leishmania donovani. Its description in RNAcentral is "gene:LdHU3.27.2520(CDS-product:dynein_heavy_chain _putative)". Lineage: Eukaryota; Euglenozoa; Kinetoplastea; Trypanosomatida; Trypanosomatidae. The record is from RNAcentral.
CCCUCCCUCUCUUUUUUUUUUCAUUUUGGCUUCACCACGCUGCCGUUACACACGGCCCUCAAGUGGUCGCUUGUGUGUGUGUGUGUGCGUGCGUGUAUCCUCCUGCGUCCCUUCGGCAAACUCCUACGCACUCUCUGUGAUCUCUAUAAAGGAAUUUUUUUUCUGUAUCCGUUCCGCCGCCAUUUGCCUUCUCUUCCUUUCCUCUCUUACCUCACAGACACCGUUGACUGUGCGCCGGGGGCGUGAAGAGAGGGCAAGGUGGGAGGGGGACAGAAAUCAGGGGGCAGAGACGAUAUGCACGCGCGUGUGUGUGUGCCGCCCUCUCCUGUCUGCGUUUUCCUUCCUCACUUGUGGUUUUCGUUUUCGCUUGAACGCUUAUUUUUUGUUAUUGAGUUUUUCUCCCGUUUGAGACGGCGGGUAGUCUUGCGAGAGGAUACACACAGUCACGCGGACGAAAACACUCCGGCGGGCCUCUGGACACGCACAUGUCGGGCCUUGUGUCGGUAGAGUCGCAGCUGGUCAGCACCGCGCAGCGCCACUUCCACAUCCGUUGUGGCCAUGUACAGUCUCGGCGCGGUGACGGCUGGCUGCUGAUCUCUUUUGCGCCUCUUGGGCCCGAUGCCAGGCUAGAGCUGGAGGUACAGGCACUGUGCAGCGCGCUUGUGCGCGAUGUUACUGGCGGCCGCGGUGCCUCAGUGCGGCUCACCGGCGAGGAUGAAGAGACGCAGUUUGGGAAGUUGGCGGACAAGAGCGUCUCCUUCGCAAAGCUGCUGCGCCAGUCGGGUGUGUCGCUGGGCGUAGGGAGUGAUCCGGGCAAGGAUGACGACAACAGCGCGAGUGUGGAUGCACUUCCAAACGCUCCUGGUGUGGCGGAGAUGGUGGAGAUGCUCUACCACGAUGUCGUGGCAGAGUCUAAGCAGGGCGCACGCGCCAUUGUGCAGUUUCCGUCCCUUCUGUGUCCUCAGGGGGCCCGCUGCGACGUUGCGCUGCAAGGCGCGAUCUGUGUGAAAGCGUUUUCGCGGACUGCCUCGCCCCUUGUGGCGGAGGUGGAAACUGCCACUCCGACGGCCGCGGUGACCGGUAACGCUGACGACGAUGACACGGACGACGAAGCGGAGACGCUUGGCGAUACGGCUGACGGUGGUGCGCAGGCGCCCCACCGCUCUCACGCUUCGGAAUUGGAGGAUAAGGCGACCGUCGUAGAGCCGAAGUCCACUGUGAAUGGUAAGGCUUUCCGCAGCCUGGAUGACUCGAUGCUGCGAAACUCGUACAGCUCGCUGAAGCUGCCAGAAGGGGAGCUGGCGAAGGUGUGGAUUGACACCCGUGUGUGGGCACAGGCACUCGCGUCGAAUGCCGGCACCUCUGUCGAGGCCGAGCUACCAGCCGCGUGGCGUUCUAGGACAUUCAACCUUGCUGAGGCUCCCGAGGCGCUGCGCAUGGUACACCGUACGCUGGCCCAUUACUGGAACGAAAACCGCGCCGCGAACAGAGACCGCGUCAAGGUCACGACGUUGUCACUGCUGAGCAUCGUCUCAGGUGACUUGAGGGAGUACCUGCGUGGCCAGGUGGAGCUGUACGGCCCUGACUGGCGAGCACCAUGGCGGAUGCCUGUCGAGGAGCUGAGCUGCGCCGUUGACCUGUGCAAGCAGUGGAGCAGGACUGUAGCGCGGUUGGUGCGGCAGGACUGGGUCGGCUGGGAGGGCCACAUGUUCUACGACGAGAGCUUCGACGCCUUCGCGCAGCGCCUGCACACAGUGCUGCGGAUUCGUGAGACGCUUGCGAGCAUGCAAGAACUGGGCGAGGCGAUUCCGUCCACUCUGCAUCCAGAGCACAUCUUCGCGGAGGUGAAUGCUGUCGACAUGCGCGGUGUGUCGACCACAGCGUGGGAGUCACGGGUUGCGCAGUUUGAGAAGGAGUUCUCUUUCGCCGAGCCCGCCCUGCGGAACCGCGUGAAGCAACUCUUUCAAUCUCCAGCUUCGGACGCGCAGCUGCGUCUUCUACGGAAGCACUGCGCGCUGUUGCGCCCCUGCGAGGUGCGCAGUGCUGUGACUCGCGAGAUGGACGGCGUCGCCGCGUACCUUGUCGAGCAGCUGAAUCGCAUGUACGCGCGGUUUGAGAACAACGGCCGACGCGCGACGACGCCGCUGCAGAAGCUGCGUGCGGCGAAAGGGUGCGCGGCAGAGUGCGUGAUGGUGCCCGAGGAGGCGGCCAAGGUGUUUGGCGCCACGGAUGCGCUCACGGAGAAGGUGACGGCCCACGCGCGCGAGCUGAUUCUCAAGGCAGCUCAGGAGGAGGCGGUCAUCAUGAAGGACUGGUGUGCAUCGGUGGAAUCGACUGCAAAGAAGAUGCUCGAGCUUCAAGACGCUGUUGUGGUGGCCAAAGCUGAGGAUGCACAGCUGCAGCAGCAACGACCGUACCUGCUGACGUGCACAGUGCACUUGUCACUGCGCAAGUUCGUGCAGGAGGUGCGCAACGUGCGGGCGUGGCUGAACGAUAUCGAGGUGCGACAGGGCCAGGAACGGCGCCGUGGCGGCACUGUGGAUCGCGGAAACAGCACGGCGCAAGAUGAGUCGGCGACGGCGUCGCAGCUCUGGCGGCUGAGCAGCAGCACCGAGAGCGCGAUUUGCGCCUGUGAGCACCUCUGUGCCGCAGCGCUGCGUACACAGCAGUGCGUCGCCAACCACAACACCGUGAUUGCGCAGAUUCUCCCGUGCACGCGCCGGAUGCUUCUCCCUGCUAUCGAAAAGAGCAUGUCACAGGUGCUGUACGACGACACCGCCACGAGAGCUGUGGCCGUUGCAAAUUACCAAGAGCUUGAAGGCGCCAACCUUCGUUUCCAGAACACAAUCGAGGCCCUCAGCAACGCCAACCGCCAGGUCCGCCGCUUUCACGAGGAGUUCGGCCAGCACGUGAUUGCCCUCAUGGGCGUCGACCUCACUUCGCACAUGGAGCAGUGGCGCAUCACCGUCGACGACCUGCGCAGCAGGAUGGAGGACUUCCUCGCGAGGCAGCACUUGUCAGACCACGAGGACUGGCGCCGGCAUUGGGAUGGGCAGAUCUACAAGGCCCUCGAGUACCAGUAUCGCCGCGGCUUGGAGAGGUUGCACGAGGAGAUGACGGAGUUCAAGGUGGAGUUGGUACUGAGGCAGGGCGUUGUACACUUCAAGCCCAGCUUGGAGGCCAUCCGCGAGGCCUACUACGUCAAACUGCGCGAGUUUGUCAGCGUACCGCUGCGCUUCCGCGGCUUGCAGCCUAAGCGGCAGGACGCGAGCACGCCGUAUGAGAUGUACCCCUUGAUGCCACUCACCAACAACGACCGCAUCCUCACAGUGCACACGAAAGCUAUGGAGCUCUUCGCGAAGCUCAACCGCGUCCGCAAAGCAUUUCGCUCGCACAUCGUCGUUGGUCUGUGCGGCAUCAACGGCUCGCCUCACCUGGACUCGAUUGCGGAUGCGUGGAUGGAGAAGGUGGCCGGGAAGAUCAGCCAGGGCUUUCGUACUGUGGAGGACCACCGGGAGAAGAUAGGCAAGAUCGAGGACGUCAUGAAGAUUGACUGUUUUGCCAUCAGCACCGUUCCGGUGCGCGCGAGCAUCGAGGAGCAUCUGCAUCGCCUGGAGGAGGCCCUCCUGAACGGAAUACGCCGCCACAUCCAGACCUCGCUGAAUGAUAUCGACGAGUUUGUGCUGGGCGUGUCGAACAUUGUGGAGCGGCAACCAACAACCAUGGACGAGGUCGGAGAGUCCAAUAAGCGCUACAAGGAGUCGUUGGAGCAAGUCAGCAUCUACGAGAAGAAGCUGGAGGAGGUGCUGGAGCAGAACAAGGAGCUGCGCAACCAUGUCGGCACCUCCAUCGACAUAGGCGCCACCCGCACCCGCUGGGACCAUAUGAAGGACGCGAUGGCGUCUCACACUAAGGUGAUGGAGGCUGCGGUAUCGAAGAUGCGCGUCUCCCUCAACGGCCUCAUCCAGCGCUUCCUGAAGGAUGAGCAGCGUUUCGCUGACGGGUGGAAGCGGCAGAAGACGCAGCUGAUGCAGGCCUUCCUGGGCAAGGAAGCCAAGACCAUUCGCAAAGUGCUGCUGUCCCUCAAGGAUCAGCUGCAUGACCUGGCUGACCUCGAGCUCCAGGCUAAGGAGCUGGAGUCCAAGUGCGAGUUCUUUGGGCAGGUGAAGCCGGUCUUUGGAGUGCUGCGAGACACCAAGAAGGACGUGCAGGCGACGAGUGCCAUGUGGUCGCUCUACGACGCCUUCGAGGAGGAGCUCGAGAAGCUGCGCGCCGAGGACUGGCUCACGUUCCGCGCGCAUACGUUUCAGUUCGAGGACUUCUGCAAGGAGUGGCGAACGACGCUCAACGAGAAAAUGAAGGAGAGCCACAGCGCCGCCGUGGAGGACGUGGCCGGGGAGGGCAAGAGGAGGAAGUCGAACAAGGACAGCGGCGACACUGCGAAUACAGCUAACAGCGCCCACAACCCCAUCGCGGUCUAUCUGCUGAACAUGAUCACGGACUGGGCGAAUGUGGUGCCGCUGCUGAAGUUUGUUCGCGGCGAGGGCUGGAUGACGGAGCACUGGAACGAAAUGUUUCGGCUCCUCAACAUACCCAAGGAGACGACCAGCACAAGCCUUACGUUCGGCUUGAUUCUCGACCACUACUCGGAGCUGCUGGCAAAGGAGGGAGAGCUGAAGCACCUGCACGCCCGCGCACACGGCGAGAUCCAGCUGCGGGAGGCGUUGCAGGACAUGCGCAAGUGGGCGCUCGAGGCUGUUUUCAACCUCACGGCACCGACGGAGAGCGCCAGCAAGGUGCGCCUCAUUACGGACUGGAAGGAGAUUAUGACGCAGGUCAGCGACAACCAGGCCCUCGUGAACUCGCUCAAAGACAGCCCGUUCUUUGUGCACUUCGCCGACGAGGCGUCUGGUUGGGAAUCGAAACUCGUUUCCCUCUCGCAGAGCCUCACGUUGCUGAACAGCAUUCAGCGUCGGUGGGCGUAUCUGGAGCCCAUCUUUGCCCGCGGCGCGUUGCCGCACGAGCAGGCCCGCUUCAAACGCGUGGACAAGGAGUUUGUUGGCAUCUUGCGCGAGGUCGAGGCGGACCCGCGUGUGAUGUCUUUGGUAAACCAGACGGACGUGCAUGAGAAGCUGAAGGGCAUCCUCGAGCAGACGGAGCGGUGCCAAAAGUCACUCAUAGAGUUCCUGGAGGCGAAGCGUGGCAAGCUGCCGCGCUUCUACUUCAUCAGCGACGAGGACCUUCUCGAGAUGCUCGGCCACAGCCAAAACCCGUCUGUGAUCCAGGUACAUCUCAAGAAACUCUUUAUGGGCAUCCACGCCGUCACAUUCAGCAGCGACAACACCAGCAUCACGCACAUGAUUAGCGCCGACGGAGAGGAGGUGGCGCUGCGCAGGCCGGUGGCGGUUACUGGCAGUGACGUGGAAGACUGGCUUCUGGCACUAGAUGCGAGCAUGCAGGACACACUGCACGAGCUGCUCAUCAGCUGCGUCAAGCAGCCAGACGCGACCACAAAGGACAGUGUCCUCGCCUAUCCGUCGCAAAUCCUUCAGGUAGCGCAGGGCGUGCACUUCGCUAGGGAAGCCGAGGAGGCGAUCGUUGCGCAGUCGCUCAACGGGUUGCUCGCGUCGCUCCGUCGGCGGCUCGACCGACUCGUCGCCAUGACGCCAGAGCUGAACGCGCUGCACGUGCUGAAAGUGAAGGCGCUUAUCCUCGACACGAUUCACAACAUUGAGGUUGUCGAGCUCCUCAUGAAGCGCAACGUCCGCCGCGUGGACGAGUGGUGGUGGACGAAGCAGUUGCGGUACCGCAUGUCUACGGAUGGCACGCACCGCUGCACCGUCCACAUGGCCGACACGCAGUUCGACUACGCGUACGAGUACCAAGGCAACGCGGCGAAGCUGGUGUACACGCCGCUGACAGACCGCUGCUACCUCGUCCUCACCAAGGGGAUGGACCUCGGCUACGGCGGCAACCCCUACGGCCCCGCGGGCACCGGCAAGACAGAGUCGGUGAAGGCACUCGGCUCGGCGAUGGGCCGCCAGGUGCUUGUCUUCAACUGCGACGAGGGCAUCGACUUCAAAGCGAUGGGGCGCAUCCUUGUCGGCAUUGUCAAGUGCGGUGCGUGGGGCUGCUUCGACGAGUUUAACCGCCUCAAAAUCGAUCAGCUUUCCGCCAUCUCACAGAUGAUCCAGGUUAUUCAGCAGGCCCUCAAGAACAAGGAGCCGAGCUGCGUGCUGCUGAACAGUGAAAUCACGGUGAACACCAACGCUGGCAUCUUCGUGACGUUGAACCCUGUUGGAAAGGGCUAUGGCGGUCGUACGCAACUGCCGGACAACCUAAAGCAGCUCUUCCGCGAGGUGGCGAUGAGUGUGCCCGACAACGAGCUCAUCACAUCGACGGUGCUCUUCUCUGAGGGGUUUACGCAUGCGCGGGCGCUGGCCAAGAGCAUUGUCGCGCUCUACCGCCUCUCUGGGCAGCUCAUGAGUCGACAGCAGCACUACGACUGGGGCCUGCGCCCGCUGAAGGCAGUGCUGCGACUGGGCGGUACGCUGCUGCAGCGCUGGAGGAAGGAAAACGCCGGCGCCGCAGCAACUCAGACGAUUGAGGAGGAGCUCAUCUUGCAGUCUCUGAACAUCAACACCAUCAGCAAACUCACCUUCGACGACGCGCGAGUCUUUCAAGGACUGCUGCGCGACAUCUUUCCUGGCGUGGAGUCGCGGGACGUCACUUACAAGGAGCUGGAGGCGGCAGUGGCGAGCGCCGUCAAAGCACUGGGCUUGCAGCCGAUUCCCGCACAGCAGAAGAAAGUGCUUCAGCUGUACGAGGCGCUGCAGCAGCGCACGGGUGUGGUGCUGGUGGGCCCCAGCGGCAGCGGCAAGAGUACCCUGCUGAACAUCCUUCGCAAGGCCCUGCAGACGAUGCAGAUUGAGGUGCCCAUGCACGUCAUGAACCCCAAGGCGAUGACGCGGCGUCGUUUGCUCGGCUACAUGGACGCUGACACACGGGAGUGGUACGACGGUGUCCUGACGGCGGCGGCGCGCGACGUUGUGAAGCAGCCGAAGGAGGCGCGACCGUGGGUGCUGUGCGAUGGCGACAUUGACCCGGAGUGGAUCGAGUCUCUCAACUCGGUGCUGGAUGAUAACAGGCUGCUGACGAUGCCGAACGGCGUGCGUAUUCAGUUUGGCACCAAUGUGAACUUUAUCUUCGAGACGCACAGCCUCGAGUAUGCGUCGCCAGCGACGGUGUCGCGCAUGGGUGUGCUCUUCUUCUCCGAAAAGGAUGUGCAGCUGGAGGCGGUGGUGGAGGCCGGCAUGGCGUUCAAGUCACUGCAUGCAAAGAAUGUGGUGCAGCCACUCAUCCUCAAGUAUGUCUUCGCCGCUGUCGACGAGGCACAGCGACUGAACGACUUCUCUGUUGCCACGACGCGCAUGGGUCUGCUGCAGACGUGUCUGCUGCACGUGAUGCUAACCAAGAAUGCGCAGGACUUCGCUUACUCGCUGGUACGCGGCCUGUGCGGAUGCCUGAAUGCCGGCAGCGCGGCGAAGCUGGCGGGCUGGAUCUACACCACAAUGGGGCAGAAGCCGUGCUCCGACAGUCGCCCGUUCGACACCUACUGGGACGACACGCUCCAGCGCGCUGUAGAGUUUACGGCAGACCUCUCGACCCCGGUGACCCCAGCCGAGCUGCUGGCGGGCCGCCCACCGGUGGUGCAGACGGUGGAGGUGAAGCGACUCGUCUCCACGCUGCAGCCGCUCUUGGAUGAUGGCAGCUGCAAACCGUUUUUCGUUGUCGGGCCGGAGGGGUGCGGGAAGGGCGCCUUGCUCGACUACGUCUUCUCCACCCGGCCAACAUUGCGCACGACGACGAUCAACUGCAGCGCGCAGACGGGCUCCACGCACGUGAUUCAGAAGAUCGAGCAGGCGUGCGUCUUGGCAAACACAAAUGCCGGGCCCAUGUACCGUCCGCGCGAAGGGGAGCGGCUCGUCAUCCUUCUCAAGAGCGUGAAUCUGCCGAAGGCGGACAGGUACGGCACCGUGGAGCUGCACUCCUUUCUGCAGCAGCUUAUCCUGUACAACGGCUUCUACAACCAGGACCUCGAGUGGGUGGGGGUUGAACGCGUGCAGAUCGUCGCGAGCAUGAACCCUACUCCAUCGGCCGGCCGCUACCCGGUCACACCGCGGCUACUGGCGCUCGCCAGCAUCGUGACCGUAUCCUACCCGUCCAAGACGAGUCUUGUGCAGGUGUACGCCACGUACUGGGCGAGUCUGUUGCAGCAGACGAACAUUGGCCAAGGCAAAGACUACGAAAAGGGCACGCAGCUCGCGCAUUUCAUGCUGCAGGUAUACGACAAGGUGCGUCGCCAGUUUGAGGGUGAGGAGUACGCGCACUUCUCCUUCAGCCCUCGCCACCUUACCAAGUGGGUCACCAACGUACUCCUCUACCACAUCGACACCCGCACCACGCUGCCGGCGGUGCUCGCCUACGAGGCCAGCCGCAUCUUUACCGACUGCCUCCCGAGCGCCGAAGACCGUAGGCAGGCGCUGCGGACCUUCUCGGAGCAGCUCGCCACGAUCGGCUACGCGAUGCCGGCAAAGGAGGAUCGCUUCACCACGAUGUUCGUGACUUGGUUUGACCCGGAGAACGGUGCCGCCGCCGUUGCCGCGACUGGCGAUGGCGCGAGAGGCAACAGAAGUGACGGCGGUGAAGAGGCUGGCGGAGCUUCCGCGGCGGCGGCGACGAGCCACCGUGCGGUGCUUAAGCUGGUGCAGAAGAGGUACGACGAUGUGCGGAGCGAGGCGGAGCGCGGACUGCUGCAGUACAGCCGCGAGUUCAAGGAGCUCCACGUCCCUCUCAUCCCGGAAAUUUUGUGCUGGGUGACCUACGUCGACCGAGUGCUGGCUCGCCCGGGCGGCCACCUCAUCUUGGUUGGCAGCACCGGUGUCGGGCGGCGCAACGCCGUGCUUCUCGCUGCGCACCAGCAACGGCGCGAGGUGGUAUCGUUCAACAUGACGCACGACUACAACCUCAAGCAGUUCCGGCUUGACCUCCGCGGCUUCAUCCAGCGCGCCACGGUGCAGAAUAUGCCGCUGGUCCUCCUCAUCGAGGAUCACAACAUUGUCGACGCGGCUUUUCUGGAGUACGUGAAUGGCCUGCUAAGCAGCGGCGAGGUGCCAGGGCUGUUCUCACAGGAGGAAAUGGAGACGAUGUUCUCAUCAAUGCGUGACGAAGCGGCCAGCGAUGGUCACAUGGGGGCGAUCUACGCCUACUUUGUGGAGCGGCUGCAGCGCAACCUGCGCAUUGCCCUCAUCAUGGACCACCGUCACGAGCUCUUCAUGAAUCGCCUGCAUUCCAACCCAGCCCUCAUGAGCAAGUGUGAGCUACUGUGGAUGGGGACGUGGAGUGGCGACAUGACCAAGACAAUCUGCAAGAUGUACCUGGCGGACGAAAUCGCCGCGCUCGAAUCAAACCCGACGAACAAAGGCUUCCACGUGCACCGCGAGGUCAACGCCAUUCACGAAGGCAUGGGCGUCCGCUCCACUCCGCAUGAUGUGCAGGUGCUGCUCAGCACAUUCCGCGCCAUCCUAGCCAGGAAGAGCAGCUCCAGCAAGGAUAAGAUGGAGCGGUUGGAGGCGGGUUUAGUGAAGCUGAAGGAGGCCGAGGAGAGUGUGGAAAAGGUAAAGAAGGACGUCGCGGAGAAGAAGAAGGAUGUUGAGAGGAUGCAGAAGGCGGCGGACAAGGCGCUGAACGAGAUCCAGUCCAGCAUGGAGGAGUCCCAGGAGCAGCGUGACGAGGCGGCAACCCUACAGGAGCAUCUCAAGGAAGAGCAGACGCUCAUUGCGAAGAGCCGCGGACAGGUGGAGGAGGAGCUUGGGAGUAUUAAGCCAAUGAUGGAAGCCGCGCGUGACGCCAUCAGCACCAUCCGCAGCGAGCAGCUCAACGAGAUCCGCUCCUUGCUAUCCCCGCCGGAGGCGAUCCGCGUCGUUCUCGAGGGCGUCCUAGCGUUGCUCGGUGUGAACGACGUCUCGUGGCAGUCGAUGCGACAGUUCCUCGGUGAGCGUGGUGCGAAGCAGCGUAUUCUCGACUUCGAGGUCAAGAACAUGACCCCCGACAUCCGCCGCCGCGUCGAGAAGCUGCUGCGCGACCGCGCCUCCUUCUUCAAGGCCGAAACCAUUCAGCGCGCCUCGGUGGCGGCGGCGCCGAUGGCGGAGUGGGUCAAGGCGAUGGUGGAGUACUCAGCCAUCAUGGAGCGCAUCUCACCUCUGACGCAGCAGCUGGAGCAGCUCGAGACGAACCAGAAAGACGGCGCCGCCAAGCUCGAGCAUCUGCAGAAGAGGCUGAAGAAAAUCGAUACCAAAGUUAAGGAGCUGCGCGAGGGCUUCUCUGAGAAGUGUAAGGAGGCAGAGCGGCUCAGAGGUAAGCUGCAGGCCGCCGAGGAGGAACUGAUGACGGCGAAGGACCUACUGGACAAGCUGAAUGGCGAGAAGGGUCGAUGGGCCACCGAGGCGGCCGCGAUCCGGGAGGCGAACAACACGAUGCCGAAGCGUGCCCUCGUCGCCGCCGCGUUCCUGACUUACCUUGGCCAAGAGACGGAGGGCGGCCGGCGCCGCUUUCUGAAGAUGUGGUGCGACCGGCUGGGCUUUCCAGAUGUUGUCGAGGUGACGCACUUCCUUCGAACCGAAGGAGACCUCCUCCAGUACAAGUCCGAGGGUCUGUCGGCGGAUGGACUCAGCCUGGAGAACGCGGUGGUCAUGCUGGACACGGAGCAGACGCCGCUCGUCGUCGACCCAGCGAAUAAGGCGGUUGAGUGGAUGCGAGAGCACCUGAAGAGGGCGAACACCGUUGUCGAGACGAUUUCACUGCACGACGAGCGCUUCACACACACGCUCGAGCUUGCCAUCCGCUUCGGGAAGACGUUGAUCGUCACGGAGGUGGCCGACAUCGCGCCUCUGCUGUACACCAUCCUGCGCCGCGACCUCGUGCCUGCUGGCGCGAAGCGAGUGGUGCAGGUGGGCAACAAAACAGUGGAGUGGCAUGACAACUUCCGAAUCAUGCUCUUCUCGCGGCAGUCGGAGCUGCGACUGUCCCCCAGUGCCGCGGCUCUGGUGACGGAGGUGAACUUCUCCGUGACGAGCCUCGGCCUCGAAGACCAGCUUCUUGGCGUCACGCUGCAACAGGAGCGACCGGAGCUGGAGAAGCAGAAGGUGGAGCUGCUCAAAGAUGAGGAGAGUUUGCAGCUGCAGCUCAACAAGCUGGAGGAGCGUCUUCUCAGCGACCUCGCGGAGUCGCAGGGCGGCUUGCUCGAGAACACGAAGCUCAUCAAGUCCCUCAACGAAGUCAAGGUGCAAGCCUACAACAUCCAGCAGUCCCUCGCGCGCUCGCACGAACUGCAGGUGGAGCUGGAUGAGAAGCGCGAGGUGUACCGCCCCUUCGCGCACCAUGGAGCUCUUCUCUUCUUCAUCGUUCGCGACAUGGAAACGCUCAAUCACAUGUACCAGUACGGUAUCAGCGACUACAUCGCCCUCUUCACGCAGACGCUCAAGACCUACCAGGGCGACGACGAGGCGGGGGCGAAGGUGCAGGCUCUGAUCGCGAGCUUCACGAAGACCUGCUUCCACAGUGUGGCGCGUGGACUGCUCAAGAAGGACCGCAUCGCCUUCGGGCUCCACGUCCUGCACGGUCUGUGGCCAGCCGAGUAUCCGCAGGAUCUGUGGGGCGCUCUGGUGGGGACCAUCACUAACGUGAAAGCGAUCGAGGACUCGCAGUUGCCGAAGUGGGCGCCGCCGUCCAGCAGGAUCAAGUACGCCAGCAUCGUCUCCAGCGCGGCCGGGCAGGCUCUGGCGGAGAAGUGGCACGGGGGCGACCCGAGUCGGUGGGCCGCCGUCAUGAACCACGCCACACCGGAGAGCGAGUUGGGGCCACGUGCCGCGGGCAGCAGCACGGACGCGAGCGCGGCCAUCUCAGACAUGGAGAGGCUGCUGUGGAUCAACACGUUUCGUCCGGACCGCGCGCCCGCCACCUCGCUGCAGAUCAUCCUGCGCAAGCUGGAGCUGGCGUCGCUAGCCCCCGUUAUGUCCCUCGAGAAUACGAUCCUCAGUAACGGCGCCACCGCCCCGAUUCUGCUGAUCACCUCGAGUGGCGCCGAUCCGAGCAUGGAGAUACAGGAUGUGGCGACGCACCUCGUGGGCAAGGAGCGCUUUGUGCAGCUUGCGCUUGGUGGUGGCCUGACAGACAACGCGCUGCAGCAGGUGCGGCGCUGCGCCGUGCAGGGCGACUGGCUGCUGCUCAAGAACCUCCACCUCGUUCUGGACUGGGCCUCCGUGCUGGAGAACGAGCUGUGCUCGAUGCCCCCGCCGAACACGAGCUUCCGCCUCCUCCUCACCACCGAGCCGCACGACCUCUUUCCCAGCGUGCUGUUGCGCAUGUCGAACAAGGUCACUGUGGAGGCGCCGCCGGGGGUGAAGCAGAACCUGCUGCGCACCUACAGCCUCUGGGACAGCGCGUUUCUCGCGGCACAGUCGCACGCCGGCGCGCGGCUUCUCUUUGGACUUGCCUGGUUCCACGCGGUGGUGCAGGAGCGCCGGACAUAUGUGCCGCAGGGCUGGUCCAAGUGCUAUGAGUUCUCGCCGGCUGACCUAAAGGCGGCGACAAAUGUGCUGACAAGCUUGGCAACGAAGUCGCAGCUGGACUGGGUGACGCUUACUGGCUUUCUGGAAACCUGCCUCUACGGCGGCCGCCUCGAGAACGCGGCGGAUGAGAAGGUGCUGCAGCUCCUCAUCCAGACGUACUUCAACGAGGGCGUGCUGCUCAAGGAGAAGUCGCCACUGUUUUCCGGCGUGACGGCCGCGCACGCAGGCGACCACGAUAAGAUGGUGGCAGUGCUGCAGGCGAACAUGCCCGACGUCGACCCGCCGGCGCUGCUCUGCAUGUGCGACAACGCGGACCGCACCGUGCAGGAGGACGCGGCACACGCCACGCGCGAGUCACUCCGUGAGCUGUGCAAGAAGGAAAGCACGGCGCUGACGAGCGGCGAGAAGUGGCGAGAGCGGCUGAGACAAGUGAUGGAGGUGUGGAAGGGCAGUGGCAUUGCGGCGAAUGGCGUUCCGCAGACGGUGUCGAGCCACACUCGUGACCCAGAGCCGAUGGAGGUCUUCUUCAUCAGCGAGGUGAACUUGCUCACCGCCCUCAUCAAGGAUCUGUCAGCCUUCUUUGAUACGUUGCACGGCGUGGCGGAGGGAACCAUCAUCCCUGACGCGGAGGUGCGCGCUGAGGCGACCGAGCUGAUGAGCGGUCGUAUGCCGAGCCGCUGGCUGGACCGCAUGGACGGUCCACAGGAGGCAAAGGUGUGGCUCGCGCUGCUGUGGCGCAAGUACAACACGACACGCGACCUCGCGAGGGCGCCGUUCAGCACGACGGCGGCGUACGACCUCUCGUCGCUACUGCGGCCGCAGACCUUUUUCAACGCCCUGCGGCAGCACACGGCGCGCGUGACAAAGGCGCCCCUCACGGACCUUGUCUUGCUAGCCGCAGUGGACAAUGUGGCGCACGGGAGCGUCAUCGUCAAGGUGGCGGCGAAGAGUCUGGUGAUGCAGGGAGCGGCGCUCACGGGCGACGGCCGCCUCGCGGCUGUGCAGGCUAACUCGCCGUCCUCCGUGCAGCUCUGUGUAGACAUCGCCGUCAGCUGGGUGCCAGCGGUGAAGGUGAAGCACUCCAGUGAAAGCGUUCUCAUUCCAGUCUACGCGGACGCAGAGCGCCACACAAGGAUCUUCCCGCUGCGUGUGAAGUGCGCCGGCGAGGCGGAGGCGACGAAGGCGGCGCUCAACGGUGUUGCGUGCUACCUGGUGAGCCUGUAGACCUGCGCCUUCAUCAAUGCCUCGGUGCUUUGGUGCGCGCUUAGCGGCGACAGUGCAGGCGGGUGAGGGGUGUGUGUGUGUGUGGGGGGGGGCGCAGACCCCUUCGUUUUUUUUUUUGUCCUCGCGCCUUCGGUUCACGUCUCCCUUCUCGCGCAUGCUUGUCAGGGGACAUUGUGAGUGGCGAUCACGUGUGUUGCCGCAGCGCCGUGCUUGUAUCGCUAGCGGGUAGAAGGGAUGGUGCGCGGUGUGCACAUAAUGGUGUGUAUGCUGGCGCGCGCUGGAGUUUGGGUGCCUUCUCAUGGUUCUUCACUCCGCAUGCGCAUCGCUGCGGAAGGUGUGCGGCGAGUCCGUGGACGCAGGCCGCCCCGCUUCUUUUUGCUAUGUGCUUUCUGUCACUUGCUCGUUGAUUCGAUGUUUUACAAGGGGCUAUACGACCAGCUCGUGCUGGCGUUUUUGCUUCCCCUGUUUCAACCAUUAUAGAGAGCCUUCAAGGGCUUUGAAUCCUCUUUCAAC